UUUUUUUCAAUUGCUCACAUCCAGUCUCUUCAAAAAAUCUCGUUUAUUGCUUUUAGAAUCACAUUUAAUCACAUUUAAAUUUUCUAUACUUUUUAAGAAUUCCACUACAUAAUUCCUACAAACCUAAAUCUCUUUUUCCCCUAACACUUUCCUUCAUGAUUUACUUUGUAAUUAUAGUGGAUCUCAAAUUUUAGCUUAAAUUAGAAUCAUCUGGAGGAUUUGGAGAAACUCUAGCCCCACCACUUAGAGGUGAAGCUGGCUGGGCUUCUGGGUCAGGGGGACUUGGAGAACUUUUUUGUCUAGCUAAAGGAUUGUAAACACACCAAUCAGCGCUCUGUGUCUAGCUAAAAGUUUGUAAAUGCACCAAUCAACACUCUGCAAAAACGGACCAAUCAGCACUCUGUAAAAUGGACCAAUCAGCACUCUGUAAAAUGGACCAAUCAGCAGGAUGUGGGCGGGGCCAAAUAAGGGAAUAAAAGGCCACCUGGGCUGCAACGCAACUUGCUCGAAUCCUUUUUCCGGAAUGUGGAAUCUUUCUUAUUUUCCUUUUCACAGUAGAUCUUCUUGCUUCUCACUUUUUGGGUUCGGAUUUCCGUUAAAAGCUGUAACACUGGGAGAGUCUGCGGCUUCACUCCUAAAUCAGGAAGACCACGAACUCCUCGAGAGAAGCGAACUCUGGACGUGACACUUUUAGGAGCUGUAACACGGCAAAGGUCUGUGGCUUCAUUCCUAACGUCAGAGAGACAACAAACUCACCGGGAAAAAUGAACAACUCCGGACCCGCCACCCUUAGGAGCUGUAACACGGCCAGGGUCUGCGGCUUCACUUCCGAAGUAAGCAAGACCACGAACCCACCAGAAGGAAGAAAUUCCGGACACAUGUGAAAGGAACAAACGACUGACACACCAUUUUUAAGAACCGCAACACUCACUGCGAGGGUUCGUGGCUUCGUUCUUGAAGUCUGUGAACCCAAGAACCCUCCGCAAGGAACCAGUUCCAGGCCCACGGCUAGACUUUCUUAUUCAGCAUACCGGGGGCAGGGAAAAAAGAGAUACUCAAUAUUUAUAUCUUUAAGAAUGUUUAAACGCUGGUAUAGCUGAAAUUGGGAACCAACGUCUUGAAACCCACUGUUCUAAUAAAAAACAGAUGGAUGCAAAAGGACAAUGCGUUGACACUCCAAGUCGACCUGGUGGUGGUCACUGUGCCCUGGCAGGUUUUAUUACUGAACGUGGAAUGAGCCCAGCAAACCUGACCACUUGGGUGCGCUGUGCAUUCCUGUUGCUGGGUGGUUGACUGCCAGUUAACCCUGCCCAGCUUUUUCAGUUUCACAGCGUUAGAAUUCCCGAUUUUUAGUGGUGCACACCAAGCAUUGUAUUGACUGUUUCCCAGAAUCCGUUGCAGUUUGGUGAGUUCGUUGACUAAAUUCCAACCAAUGGGAUGAGUCAUAUCGAUAGAGAAAAGGAAGGCGAUCCCAUGUUGGUCAUUUCUCUUCUCCUUUGUGGUUGGAAUAUGGGCAUUGCAGAAAGCCGCCUUAAGGCUGGCAUAUAAGGAAGCUAGAUGGAAACAUGUUAGCAGUGGACAAGACACCACAGCAGCCGAGGGAGCUUUGAGAACUGAACUGAUGGGCAACACCAAAAACAAUCCAAGCCUAAACGCAGCAGAAUACUGACACACAGGAUGAGCAACAGACACCUGUUGUACACCAGACCUGGAGGGCCCGGAGACAUGGAAGAGAGCCCCUCUGUUGAGAAGGCACCAUCUAAGGUGGCCCGUGGGGUCCAGCCCACCACAGCAGGCACAGUGCUCGCAAAGCCACGAUGGAAGACCCAG
RNAcentral lists this long non-coding RNA (1830 nucleotides) under Homo sapiens (human). RNAcentral describes it as "HSALNT0380337". Lineage: Eukaryota; Metazoa; Chordata; Mammalia; Primates; Hominidae. The record is from RNAcentral.